RNAcentral lists this long non-coding RNA (5263 nucleotides) under Cricetulus griseus (Chinese hamster). RNAcentral describes it as "lncRNA (ENSCGRG00015036892.1)". Lineage: Eukaryota; Metazoa; Chordata; Mammalia; Rodentia; Cricetidae. The record is from RNAcentral.
GGUAAAAAGAAAAAAAUCAGUGAAAUGGCGAAUAACUUAGAAAGACACAUCUAGGAAAUAAAUAUAUAUGAAAAUAUAUAUAUAUAUGUAUAUAUAUAUAUACAUAUAUAUAUAUAUAUAUAUACAUUUAUGUUUUCUUUUCAUUUUUUCCUGUGUGAUCAAAUUCAAAAUUACUCACACAUUCCAGGCAGGCACUAUACCAGUGAGCUACACCUCUAGCCCCUAGAUUUUAGUGACUAUGAAGAAAGGAGAAAGAAUCAAGUCCUGGAGCUGGGCAUUGGUGGUGCAUGACUUUAAUCCCAGCACUCGGGAGGCAGAGGCAGGCGGAUCUCUGUGAGUUUGAGACCAGCCUGGACUAUGUGAGAUCUUGUCUCAAAAAACAAACCCCCAACAAAAGAUAUUGAGACUUCUAGCAUAGUUUUUCCUUCUCUCCUGGAUCAUUCCUUCUGGGGUAAGCCUGCUGACUCUAUCCAGGGACUAUUAGGGAGUGGAGCCAUUGACCAAGCCACCAAAGAACCAAGACCUUUACACUGAAGACCCAUGGGUGAGGCUGAAAACCAACAAUCCAGCCCCAUGACAUUUUCAGAAGGCCAAAGCACCAGGCAGCAUCCUGAGCAACGUCAUGAGAGAGUGCCCAGAUGACAAGUCAAGUUUCUUGACUUCCAGACAUUGGGUGAGAUAAUCAUUUCCUUUCCAGAUUGAUUAAAAAGAUAAACAGAAGCAAAGCCAAAACCAUAGACUUGAAGAAACAACAAUAAAAAGGAGGAAGCCCAAAAUAGAAACUAAGAUUAAAGUCAACAGUGAAAAUGAUUGCUACUAAAAGGCGAAGGAUCGUAAAUCAUAGGACAAUGAGUUGUAUAAUAUGUUACCAAUGUAGACAUUUAGAAUCCAAAGGUCAAUAAAGGAUUAACAUAGGGAAAUGAACAAAGCUAAGUGCAAUAGCAUACGCCUUUACUCCCAGAAUUUGAGGGGCAGAGGCAGGCAGGUCUCUGUGAAUUUUAGACCAGCCUGGGCUAAGUAGUGAGACCCAAUCUUGAAAGAAAGAAAACAGGCAAAGACAAACUAAGCUUACAGGAAAAGCAAGCAAGGAUAGCAAAAUUAGUGUUAGACAAAGUAGAACUUGAGAUGGAAAGAUGCACUAAGGAGAGGAGAGUUACUACACAGAAAAAAUAUCAGCAAUGAUAAAAAUAUAAUAAAUUAGCUAAAUACAUAGUAUCAUUGAUUGGACUAUAAUGAGAAAGUGAUAAAAGUAUAAUUAGAGUGAAAGAUUUUUAACUCACUCACACCAUCGAUGAUCAAACAGACAAUGGAUAAUGCAGGGAGCACUGACUUAGUAUAAUUUGUAACAUAGACCAUUAUCCCAGAUUUUAUAUUCUGCAAAUAAUGACUACACAUUUGUUCAUGUGUAUAAAUUGGAGGUGGAAAAAAAGAGGUUACAGAGAAAAUCUCAUUAAAGGCAAGAAAGAAAACAUCUUAUGACUCCUGUUUUCACUCUACAAUUACACACUGAUAGAAUAAAUGGAUUCUUGGAAACAAUCUUCACAAUCCUAUACAAUAAGUAAGUUCCUCACAAAAAAGAGCUUAAAAAGAAAAAAAGUAUGGUGGUGGGGUUAAAAGAGGCAGUAAGAGGGGAAAGAAAAUGUAAAAGAGAAUGCUGGGAAUAGAGACGGAGCUCAGCAGCUAAGAGCAUUUGCUAUUUUUGCAGACAACCCAGGCUCUAUCCCAUCAUGUAAGGCUAUCUGUAAUCCAGUUCUAAGGGAUCCAAUGCCCUCUUCUGGUUUCCAAGGGCACCAGACAAACAUGUGGUUCACAGACAAACAUGCACAUAAAACAAAAAUACAGAAAUCUUUAAAAAGUGAGUGUUUGUUAAGCUGUGAGCCUAUGGUGAGUGUUAGUAAGUGCUACUUGUCACCUAGUUAAAGAUUAUAAUGAGGUCCAGCAAGAUGGCUCAAUGGGUGAAAGCACCUGCCACCCAGUACUCAUGCCCCACAUACACAAAAUAAAUAAUGUGAAAAUGUUUGUAAAGGCUGGGCGUUGGUGGCGCAUGCCUUUAAUCUCGGCACUCGGGAGGCAGAGGCAGGCGGAUCUCCAAAUUUGAGGUCAGCCUGAUUUACAGAGUGAACUCCAGGACAGCCAGGGUUACACAGAGAAACCCUGUUCUGAAAAAAAAAAAUUCUUUUAAAUAAAAAUAAAGAAUCAAACUAAAUCUUUGUGGUAAGUCAAAUCACUAUUUUGAAGAAAAUAUCAUUUUAAAUGGUACUAAAUAUUCUAAAUGUUUGUUUGUUUGUUUGUUUGUUUGUUUGUACAGACAUGUAUGCCAUGGCACAUGUAAAGAGGUCAGGAGAACUUGAAAGAAGCCAUCUUUUCCUGGGUUCCAAACUCAGGCUGCCAGGCAUGGCCCACUGAACCAUCUUGCUGGCCUAGUAUCACUUUUAAAAGAAAUUGCAAUUAAAGUAUCAGUAGCCUCAUGUAAGCAGUGCAUGCCUGUACCUGGUACUUGGGUGUCAGAAGACAGAGGACCAAGAGUUCAAGGUCACUCUCAGCUAUCUAGGCCAGUCUAGACUACAAAAAGUCUGUCUCAAAACAAACACUGACAACAAAAUCCCUUUAAAAAGUAGAAGAAUGGGAAUUCUUUAGACCAAGAUAAAACUAAUUUGAAAAUAAAAAUGAUUUGAUUGUGUAAACAUUAGGGAACAGACAAGCCUCCAAAAAAAUCUAAUUGGAAAGAGAAAAUAUAUGCAAAAUAUCUGAAACAAGGAGGUAAAUAAUAUACAAACACAUUUGAAAAAGUUUCCUCUCCAAGGGCAUUUUUUUUUCUUCCACUGUCUUUCAUUUUGAAAGACCCCUUCAAAACCAAACAAUUUCUGGAAAUCAAAUAUAUUUCCAGAUCAUAGAUAAAAUACAAAAAUUAAAAAAAAAAACAGAUAAAUGCACUACAAAGCUUACAUUUCUCUGAGUGUUGUGUGUGGACUAAAUACUAGAACCGUGUGCCCAGAUCAACCAAAGAAUUACUGGAUUUUCGAGUCUUUAACGUGUUCAUGCGAUAAUGUGAUAAAAAAGGAAAGGCUGGAAAAGCUUUGGCUGUGUUACUCCUCUCCAGGGGAUUAUUGCCUGCUGACUGUCUGAGCUUCCGACUUUUAAUUCAUGUGUUUAAGCUUUGAGACCUCUCACAGUGUAGCCCAGGCUGAACUCGCGCUGACUCCUCCCGCCUCUGCCUCCCUAGAGGUGGGAUUGAGGUGUUCAUGACCGUGCGGGCCGUUUUAGGAAGAAGGAAAACAUGAAAACCUGAAGAUGCUUCCUGAGCCUCCCCUCCCUGCCGACCCAGGGUCUUGAACAAGCUAGGUGAGCACUCUACAGCGCAUCUGUAUCUCCAGUUCAUAAUCUUUUACAAUUACUGAAGAUCUUUUAGGCUGGGCCUCUGUUUUACCAUUUACAGUUGGGCACACAUAAAAAGUAAAAAUUAGUGGGGGACGGGUGGGGGGAGUGCUGAAGGUAUGCCGUGAACCCUCUUCUGUUUAUCGAACUCCUCUGCUCAUUGUUUGUGCUACUAGGAAUAUUAUAAAUAUAUUCUUUCUUUUAUUAAUUUUUUUUUCAGCAGAGCAUAGUGAAAAACACAUCUUUAAUCCCAGCAAUCUGGAAUCAGAGGCAGAAGGAUCUCUGUCAGUUCGAGGCUAACUUGGUCUGCAUAGUUCCAGGACAGUCAAAGCUACAUAGUGAGACUCUGUCUUAAAAAAAAAUUUUUUUUGCAUGUGUGAAAUACAUGUAUGUGUUCACAUGUUUAGGAGCACAGGUAUGUGAGUAUGCACAGGUAUACCCAUAUAUGUGGAGGCCCAAAGUUGAGGUUGUGUGUUGCCCUCAGUUGCUCUCUACUUUUUAUUAAGUCACAGUCUCUUGCUGAACUGGAGCUCACCAAUUCUAGACAGUGUGACUACCCAGCUUGCUCCAGGGAUCCUUGGUUUCUGCUUCUGGAGAACUGGGAUUACAGAUGGGCUAUCACGCCUCUCCAGUGUUUCCUGUGAGCUCUAAGGGUCCCAACUGUGGUCCUCACUUUUGCAUCACAAGCACUUUAUCCUCUGAGCCCUCUUCAGCCACAGUGAUGUAUUAUUAAAACAGCCCUGAAGGAGUAAUAAUUGAAUAAAUAAUGAUUAAUGAUGUUUUAGAACUAAAGAAAAAAAUUCAAUUUAAAGCUAGCCUGGGCUGCAAAGGAAAUUCCAGGCCAACCAGGGGGGAGAGAGAGAGAGAGAGAGAGAGAGAGAGAGAGAGAGAGAGAGAGAGAGAGGGAGAGAGAGAGAGAGAGAGAGAGAGAGGGAAAAAUCAAUUCAUUGGUGGAAGAAAUCUAAUUAAUUUCAAGCACAAUAAAUUAAAAGCAGUAUCUAGGCCUGUUAUGAAAAAAACUACAGAACAGAAGCAAAAACAAGCAAAACAAAACAAUAAAUAAAUAAAAUAUAACAGAAUAAUGAUGGGUGUGAGAGUUCAUGUCUGUAAGCAUACUUUUGAGACUAAGACAGAAGGAUUGUGAUUUCUGAGGCAAGGAGUUUAUUGGGGUGCACAAGGGGAGUAUCUAGGGGUAUGCAACAGUCUCAGGAUUGGUUCACUUCUGUGACCUGUUCUGUGUUGAUUGGUUAACUGGUUGCUAUGGCCUCCCAGGGCAGUUGCUAUGCUCUGCACAUCCUUGCAACUUUUACUGUAAAGCAUGUCCAGAACCUGCCAGCUAACUUCUGAUUGGUUCCUUGCCACUUGGAGGGUAUCUGACCUCCUAGUGACUGGGAGGAGGGGCAAGGUCAGGAAGCCCAGCACAUUUUGCUGAGUGAGAGGCCUAUAUCUUGCUGGGUCUUUUCUGCAGCCUGUCAUGGCUGCUAAAGCAGGGGGCUGGGUGAGGGUCUGGUCCCUUCAAUAAAAACAAAUGCAGGCCAGGCGUUGGUGGCACACUCCUUUAAUCCCAGCUGUACUUGAUGAACUUGUGUAGCACCAGAUGUGUAGGCUUGCUGUGUCAGAUUCUGCCAAAUGCUUUACUUUCAUUAACUAGUCCUGAUGAGGAAACCUGCCCCAUCUUCUUAACAGUUCCAACAUUGUUCCAAGUCUCUUCUGAUGGUCAAAGUAAACUUGCCUGUGAGCCUUUGUAAAAAUAAAACUAGCUAGCUGGGUGGUGGUGGCACAUGUCUUUAAUCCCAGCACUUAGGAGGCAGAGGCAGGUGGAUCUCUGUGAGUUCAUGGCCAGCCCGGUCUACAGAGUGCCAUGACAGCUGGGGCUACACAGAGAAAC